RNAcentral lists this unclassified non-coding RNA (525 nucleotides) under Hevea brasiliensis (rubber tree). Lineage: Eukaryota; Viridiplantae; Streptophyta; Magnoliopsida; Malpighiales; Euphorbiaceae. The record is from RNAcentral.
GGGAUGGUACAGGGGAUAAAAGGUAAUUAUCUGCAUUCAUGAUGUGUCUUCACAUAUAUCCCACAUAUUUACACGUGAACCUUCUUCGUAUUUCAGUUUUCAAUCCUUGUACAUAUAUGGAAAAAGAAAAAAUUAUAUGAAGAGAAGAAAGGAGAUUUCCUUGGCUCCCUUUGUGAUGUGUUAUCAUGCUAUUUACUCAUAGUUUAUGGUGUCAUCUCUUUGGGGAAUAUUAGACUGCCACCAAAACGACCAAGCUUAAUUUAUCUCCAUCCCACUUACUUCAUAUAAUUGAUCUAUGUUUUUAUUAUUUGGCCAUUGAAUACUCAUCUAUUGGGUAGCUUAUUGUUCUGUGUCCCAUAUUUAUAGCUUAGUGUAAUUACCAUGAUGCAGCUUUCAAACAAUUCUUUCCUUUUGGUGUAUUCUUUUGGCUGUAUCAUAUGCUUAUUAUGGUUUUUGAAUUGGCCUUUACAUAAUUUCUAUUAGAUGCCAGAGGUGAUUUAACAAUGCUAGUUUCUUUUACACUGA